This 379-nucleotide long non-coding RNA is filed under the name Mytilus galloprovincialis (Mediterranean mussel). The record is from RNAcentral. Lineage: Eukaryota; Metazoa; Mollusca; Bivalvia; Mytilida; Mytilidae.
AGCCACUGCAACCAAAGAAAUAAAAAGAAGGAUAAUUAAACACCUUGGUAUGAUCCAAUCAGAGACACAAGCUAUGUAUAUUGCCUGAAAGGAAAUAUCUUACUUAUGUGGGAAACAAAUCAAGAAAACAAACAGAUGAACUUCAUAUGAUCCUAUCAGACUUACUAGAAAAGAAGGAAAAUGCAAAGAAAACAAUAAUUAAUUGCAGAAAUAUAGCGGCAUGGGCUAAUUUAUAUGAACAUUUUUAUAUCAACAUUGAUGAUACUCUGAAUGUUGAUAGCAGACUGAUUGCAAUGUUCCAUCGCUCCAUGACAGAAGGCCCGAGACCACAUUUAUUUCGGAGUGCAUUUCGUUUAAAACAUAAUGAAAAUAAAAAAAA